UCCUGACCUCACUACUUACUUACUCCCUUCUCUAUAGCCACUUAUAUUCACUUUCCAUUUCUCCAAAACAGACUUCUUUCUCUAUAGAAGACACAACAAGGAAAAUGGACUCUGCAACAACAAGAAGAUGGCCUUGUUUUCUUGAGAAAAACGAUGGUCUUGCCUCUAUAGCUGAAAUGGGAAACCAUUAUCAUCACAUGAAUCACAACUCAUUAAUUUCUAGGAGGAAUAGUUUCAAGAAUCUGUACUCCUCCUCUUCCUCUUCUCGUUCGUCACCAAGAUUGUCUAGCGGAACAAGGUUGUAUCAUACUAGAUUUGAACAACAAGUACACUUCUUGGAAUCUUGUUUUCUUUGUAACAAACCACUUGGUCACAACAGAGACAUCUUUAUGUACAGGUUUGUUUUCUUCUUCAAAUCUAUCCUUUAUUUUUCAUGUUUCGAAAUCAAAUAUUUCAUCUUUCUUAUAGUUUGGUCUGAAAGAUCUUAACUUCUAUUCAAAAACUGUUACUCCCUCAAUUUCAAUUUAUUUUUCUGAUUUUGAUUUGACAUGGAGUUUAAAACGUACUUUAAUGUCACGUUAUGUUAUGUGACGUGAAAAGUUGAAUUUAAAGAAUUGUCCAAAAGCAUAUUCUUUGAUAAAUGGACUAGACGGGAAAGUAACAUAAACAAAUUGAAACGAAUGUAAAUAAAUAUUGGGGUUCUAGUAAAAGGUUGAUUUGUUUUUUCUUCACAGGGACUGUUAACUGAAUAUUCUUCAAAAGUACUAAUACAUAAAUUGUUUAUAUUAAGUGUGAAAUUAGUAAAAGAGGACAAUAGAUUGAUUUUUUCUGAUGCAUGUUAUGAUGUAGAGGGGAUACUCCAUUUUGCAGUGAAGAGUGCAGGCAAGAACAGAUAGAAAUGGAUGAAGUCAAGGAGAAACAAUUCAAUCUUUCAGCUUCUAUAAAGGCUUUGAGAAAAAAGGACCAGAUAAAGUCUACUACCUCUCAAAAUAACUCUGCGCAAGAAUACCCUUUAUGCAGAGGCAGUGUUGCUGCAGCUUGAAUUAAAAAAAAAAAAAAACAGCCAGCCAAAGCAUCGCCCGUUGGCAGGAUCCGCUAUAGUAGUAUAUAGAAUUUUAUUUUAUUUUUGAAAAUAAUGUAUAUGUUGAUGAGGAGGGAGUGGGGGCUAUCAUUUUGCUGGUUAGUCUUACGUGAUAAAAGUAAUGGCUAUACUUUUUGGUGGUAUGCCAAAGUUUUUUUUUUUUUUUUUUUUUUUAUGCCACUUUUUAUGAUUUCGUGGGCUGUUUUCACGAUGGAAAAAGAGGAGCAAUGAUAGGCAGCGUCCACUAUCACUUUUGUUCUGUUAAUAUCGUAUCAUUUCAAUUUUGUGUUGAACGUAUAAUAAAUUACUCAAGGGGGAAUAUAUGCCUUAAGUUACAUAUUUGAUGCAAUUCAAUAAUUUUAAUUUUAAUUUUCUACCUAUAUGUAAAUAAAGCUCAGUUAACAACACUUAAAUUAUUAUCUUACAUUUCAAAAUUCUAAAGCUCGAAUCCGUCUUUGAUAAUAACUUCAUCUUUUCAAAUUGAUGCAUACGUCCUUUUAUUCCAUGGAAGAAAAUUGUGAGGAGAUAACUUCAUGGUAAAUUGGGAAGAAAAGGAUUACGGAAAUUUUGUCAAGUACUUUGGACCUUUUGGACAAGGAUCUUUUUUUAUCUUUUUAUUUUUUAAAAAAUGAGAAUUUAGUAAUGAUUUUUCAGUUAGUUUUUGAAGAUGAAUUUUUUAAAUUUGAAAAAUUGAUUAAAAGAAAAGAAAUCACUCGCAAAACAUCAACUUUUUGAAACUGAAAAGAAUCUCAAAAUACAGUUUUAAUUUUUAAAUAGCAAUUUCAACUUUAAUUUCAAGUAUUACUUUCUUCAAAUACCACUCAAUUUGUAUUUAGACGCCUACUAUAUUACGUUAUUCAACUAAAUUGUUAUUGAAGUCUUUCAAGAAAAAUAAAUCAACUUUGUUGGAUGAAUGACUAAGCCUUUUCCUUGUUCUCCUAUGAUUAGUCCUUUUUACUCUAAUCCACACCGUAUAUUGCCAAACAAUUGCUAGGAUUAUUGAUUUAUUUGGAUCCCAUUCGAAUAUAACAUGGAAAAAUAAGUCAAUUAUAAUAUCGAUGUUCAGAAUUACAAGAAAGCUAAACAUAUUAAUUAAAUAUCUUGUUCCACAUACCAAUUUUGAAAAAUGGUUGAACCCAAUUGGUCGUAGGCAGGAUUAGAGGACAAGAUUAAGUAGAUGUUGAGUGCCACAUCGAUAUGGUGAAACUGUUAACAAGAAAAAUGCAAAGCCGAUAAAUCUCCAUUUUUGAUCUAAUUUAGAAGCGUUAUCGAGCUUGAAAGAGUAAAGGAAGAGUAGAGGUAGAGCGAGAAAAUGUUUCUUAUU
Molecule: long non-coding RNA, 2405 nt
Filed under: Capsicum annuum
Lineage: Eukaryota; Viridiplantae; Streptophyta; Magnoliopsida; Solanales; Solanaceae
Description: long non-coding RNA (CANN_LNC009556)
Source: RNAcentral